Molecule: small RNA, 30 nt
Filed under: Bombyx mori (domestic silkworm)
Lineage: Eukaryota; Metazoa; Arthropoda; Insecta; Lepidoptera; Bombycidae
Description: ovarian small RNA-481
Source: RNAcentral
UUUGCAGAUCGCAUGGUCAAGUACCGGCGA